This 74-nucleotide transfer RNA is filed under the name Candidatus Woesebacteria bacterium. Its description in RNAcentral is "tRNA-Ile". It matches the Rfam family "tRNA". From Rfam's summary of the family: Transfer RNA (tRNA) molecules are approximately 80 nucleotides in length. Their secondary structure includes four short double-helical elements and three loops (D, anti-codon, and T loops). The record is from RNAcentral. Lineage: Bacteria; Candidatus Woeseibacteriota.
GGAGCCGUAGGUUAACGGUAAGCCACGACUCUUAUAAAGUCGAUUCGAUGGUCCGACUCCAUCCGGCUCCACCA